Non-coding RNA from Cordylochernes scorpioides, 69 nucleotides. The record is from the annotation of a GenBank genome assembly. NCBI's taxonomy places the organism in Eukaryota, Metazoa, Arthropoda, Arachnida, Pseudoscorpiones, Chernetidae.
UGUCCAGGGAUGGGAAUCGAACCCACCGGCUUACCGGCCAGAUGCCAUGUCCACUAGGCUACCCUGGGC